This 107-nucleotide microRNA precursor is filed under the name Marmota monax (woodchuck). The record is from RNAcentral. Lineage: Eukaryota; Metazoa; Chordata; Mammalia; Rodentia; Sciuridae.
UGUGCUAUUUCUGGGUCGUAGAGUAAGACCACGUUUCAUUUUUUAAGAAACUGCUAAACUCUUUUCCAAAGUGGCUGUACUAUUUCGCAUUCCCACGGACAAGGAAU